Podarcis lilfordi (Lilford's wall lizard) is the source of this 73-nucleotide non-coding RNA. The record is from the annotation of a GenBank genome assembly. NCBI's taxonomy places the organism in Eukaryota, Metazoa, Chordata, Lepidosauria, Squamata, Lacertidae.
GCUUUGGUAGUUCAGUCAUUAGAACAUGAGACUCUUAAUUUCAGGGUUGUGGGUUCGAGCCUUCUGUUGGGCA